GAGAACCUCAGUGCUUUUAUUCCCAUGAUAAAGCCUUUGGCUCUAAAUGUGUUUCAGGGAUAUUCAAAGUGGAAAUCUUUCUCUUCAUCUGGGGAAUUGCUUGGUGUCGACUGACAAGGAAAUGGAAGUUUUCUGGAAAGACAGUUUAUCCUGAAAUGUCAGCACACAGAAAGAUGAAGUGUCUUCUGAAACAGAAAGUGAAUGCUGAUUUGAAGGGCUUGUGUCUGCAAACAUGGUGUGGGAGAGGCAAUGCCUGAAUCACCAGGAAACAGCAAUUACAUCUGCUGUAAAAUCACCUCCCAUGCAGAGAGAAUCAAGAAGAAGAGCAGAGAGAUAUAUCUGUGCACAGUGGUAUGUGUCUUUAGCACACAAUGUCUAUUUUCCUUCUAUUUAUAUCUUGCAAUUUCUUGAAACACUUACCCCGAUCAGGUGGUUAAUAUUUUGUAUG
Long non-coding RNA from Passer domesticus (house sparrow), 448 nucleotides. RefSeq lists it as uncharacterized. NCBI's taxonomy places the organism in Eukaryota, Metazoa, Chordata, Aves, Passeriformes, Passeridae. The transcript is spliced from 3 exons. The record is from RefSeq and is a predicted model, not a curated record.